CCCGCCCCCCGAUCCAGAUGUGGCGGGGGAGGAACCCCCCGAUCCAGAUGUUGGGGGUGGGGCUGAAGCUCCGCCCACCCCGCAGGUGCGGCGCAGUCAGCGAUUGGCCAAGCUCAGAGAGGGCGGAGCCUCUGCUGGCCCCGCCCCCAGCCCGAAGGGGCGUGGCCAAGGCCCCGGGCCACGCCCCUCACUCAGGCCACGCCCCCAGAGGAAGCGGGACCGGGUGGGGGCGGGGCUUGAUGAGGCCACGCCCUCCACAGCCAUAAAAGGAAAUGGGCGGGGCUCAGACCCUGCCCCCAUCCGGGUGCUGUUCACAGGCCUGGUGGCCUCGCGGGCGCUGCUGGUGGCCCUGGGGACGUUGGGUGGCACCGAGGCCACCUCGGUGCACGACUGCAGCCACCUGGUGACCGAUGGCAUCCGCCGGACACUCAAGUUCCUGUGUGCCCUGGCCAGGGGCGUCCCCAUCGUCACCCCCGAGUGGCUCCUGCAGAGUUCCCGCGGUGGCCGCCCGCUGUCCCCAGGUCCGUUCCUGCCCCGGGACCCCUCCCGUGAGCGGAGCUUCGGCUUCCGGCUGCGGCCAGCGCUGGCCCGGG
This is a non-coding RNA of Pseudopodoces humilis (Tibetan ground-tit), 593 nucleotides long. NCBI's taxonomy places the organism in Eukaryota, Metazoa, Chordata, Aves, Passeriformes, Paridae. The record is from RefSeq and is a predicted model, not a curated record.